AUGCUCGCUUUGGCAACACAUAUACUAAAAUUGGAAUGGCACAGAGAAGAUUAGUAUGGCCCCUGUGCAAGGAUGACACGCUAAUUUGUGAAGCAGCCAGUAUUUGA
Small nuclear RNA from Ochotona curzoniae (black-lipped pika), 107 nucleotides. NCBI's taxonomy places the organism in Eukaryota, Metazoa, Chordata, Mammalia, Lagomorpha, Ochotonidae. The record is from RefSeq and is a predicted model, not a curated record.